AAAAUUACAAUUUGAACAUGUUGCUUACUUUACUAUAUUUAGGUCGUUCGUUUUGUCGUUCCAUGUAGUUGCGAUUGCAUCAAACACAAGGAUAUAUGUUCAUUUGGGUGCUGCAGCUACUUGCGUCAAAACGCUGCGGCGAACGCAGUGGAAUCCGACGAAUAAUUUUGAAUGCCGAUUUAAUUGAGCGGCAAAGAUUAAAACGUUGUGACUAAUUUAACAAAUGACUUAAUUACCCAUAAUAUCUUUAAGAAAUCACAAUAAAACUUAACCAUAAAUCCAACACAUUCACGCGAUAUGAAAUUAUCUCUUCUUCUCUUUUACACAAUCUAAAAUCUCUUUUUUUUUUACACGAUUUGGAUAUGCUCGGUGAUUUCAAAGUAAGCUCUGCGAUUUCAAAGUAAUAGGUUUUGUUUCUGAAGUUCCUUUCUCGAUCCUGAAGAGUUUUUGAAGAAUUCUCUGGUUGAAGUUCGCUGCUUAAAUCGUUAUCUUCGACCCCACUUGUUCUUCUUGAAUCUUUAUCUUCGAUCCCACUUAUUCCUAUCAUGUUUGCCUUCUCUCUACUCUUUAUUUUUUGUGACCUUGAAGAGCUUCAAAGCAACGUGUGUCUAAUGAUGUGGUUUUAGUUGAUUUCCAUUAUGAUUAACCAAACGUAGUUGUGUUGUAGUUGUUCAUAGUUACAUAGAUUUGGGGGAGGACUCGUAGAAGAAGAAGGUAAAGAAGGAGAAUCACCCAAUCCAGGUAGAAAAGCAAGGUAAUUUCGUUAUUCACAGCUAUUGAAUAUUUUGGAAAUUUUUGUUUGUGUUCUCUUAGUUUGUGUAGCUACUCUCAACUUGGUGGGUUUUUUUCUUCCGUUGAAUCUAUAAGUAUUCAUGGAGCUUGUCUUCUCAUUGAUUCAUAAAUCUAUCCUUAUUUGUGUUGCUUUGCAGAAAGUCUUCAAAUUUGUUAAAGUGAAUCAGUUUUCUUUUUUAGUUUUUGUGUUCUCUGUUUUUGUGAUAGUUUUGAUUUUGAUUCAAUGGAUUGGUUUCUAAUGAACUUUAGGACGAAUGAUUAGCCCUAUUUAUCAUAUGUUUGAUUUUAACAUCUGUAUAAAUGAGCAUAGAGCUAAGCUUUGAUUAUGUGGAUUAAGCUUGUAAUAGCAACGAUGACACUACACUACUUCAUAAGGGAUUCACAUCAGAAAGAUCAUGAUUUCUUACAAUAGUAAAACAAAGAAAAAUUUCAUGUUGAUGAUAAUGAAGAAGAAGAAGAAGAAGAAGAAUUAAGAGGAAGGAAAAGAAGGAGGAGAAGAAGAAGAACAUAUUGCAUAUGAGCCGACCGGUGAUAGAGUGAUGGAAGCUUUGCGGGAUAACAUCACAAAUAAAUGUAAUAAAGGUCUUUUACCUUGUUAGAUAUGUUUUUUUUUCCAAUGACUUAGUUUAUUAUUUUAGGUUCUGUUUAUUUCAUUAUUUAACAUUUUCGUUCAAAUUAUCCAUUUACAUGAUUUGAAUGAUGCAUUUGAAUGAUGUUUGUAGUGUUUGUUUGAUCAUUUGAUAUUUAAUCUAAAUGAUGCAUUUAAAUGAAUCUUUAUUUGUUUGCUCAUUUUGUAGUUCAUCCACAUUCUCAUUUAGAUAAAAAUGACUAAAAUACCCAUGCUUUCAUUUUGACAAAUGACAAAUAAUUUUGCAUUUGCGGUUUUAGUAGGUAAAACAUGAUAUUAUGGUUUUGGCAUAAAAAAUAUUUUACGGUUUUAGCGAGAAAACAUGAUAUUAUGGUUUUGGCGGGAAAACAUGAUUUUGCGGUUUUGGCGGGAAAAUAUGAUUUUGCGGUUUUGGCGUGAAAACAUGAUUUUGAAGUUUUGGCGGGAAAACAUGAUUUUACGGUUUUGGCGGGAAAAAAUAUUUUACGAUUUUGGCGGAAAAAACAUAAUAUUACGGUUUUGGCGGAAAAACAUGAUUUUGAAGUUUUGGCGGGAAAACAUGAUUUUGCUGUUUUGGCGGGAAAACAUGAUUUUGCGGUUAUGACGGGAAAAUAUGAUUUUGCGGUUUUGGUGGAAAACAUGAUUUUACGGUUUUAGCGAAAAAAUAUGAUUUUGCGGUUUACUAGGAAAAUUAUGAUUUGGCGGUUUUGGAGGAAAACAUGAUUUAACGGUGUUGGCAGAAAAAUAUAAUUUUACGGUGUUGGUGGGAAAAUAUAUACAAUUUUGACGUAAAAUAAUAGUCCGUGAUUUCCAAUUUUUAAUUUUUUUGGUGCAAUAUGUAAUUUAAAAAAAAGAUAUUAAUAAAUUUUUUAUAGAAAUUAGUAUUAUUCCAAAGGUUAUAUUUGUCAUUUAUUCUUUUUGACUAAACCAUCUCCAUCCAAAUGGUCCAACCAAGUCCAUCCAAAUGAGUUUUAAAAAUUUGCCUAAACUUACAAAGUCAUUGAGAUGAAUCAUCCAAGUGAUUCAUCCAAAUGGUAUGUUAAAUUGUCAAAAACAAACAUCAUUUUUCAUCUCCAUAUAGAUGACCCAUCUUGAUGGAGAAAAAAACAAGGAUCAAUUAUAGGAUUGGCACAUAAAACAUCAUCCCUUUGUAAUAUUAGGCUUUUUAGUAUGCUUUACUAGAUUAGGUACUUCUUCUCUUCUACAUAGACAAAAUUACCCUUUCUUCUAUAUGUUCUCUAAAUCGAUUGGAUCUAGCAAGACAAUUAUCCAUCGGUUACUGCUGAUUCUCUUCUAUUAAAAUUCAAUCCAAAUCAGAUCUAUGUAUAGAUGUAUUUAUGUUCCUCGACGAAGCAUGCGGUUAUCCACUAUAGCUUCUCUUCUGAAUCUGUCCAUGUACCUUAUCGGUGAAUCAGUUCAAUCGACGGUUGCAAUGAUUCUGAUCAUCUCACGAUAACAACAUAAAAAAAUCUUUGUCUCGACAGUUCUUGAUCUCUCGAUUAUCUGAAAUGAAUCUGAAUUUCUCAAUCUUAAUUAGGAUUUCAUCUUCUCUCGAUUUAUGAAAUUCCAAAUUGAUAUUGAUCAUUGCUUUAGAUUAAAUCCCUUGGGUUUUUUAUAUACUAUCCCUAUAGGGUUUAGUGUUCUUUUAUAAAAAGAAUAUUUAAUUGAAUUUUGGGUUCACAGGAAAGAAGUUUUAGUGGUGUAAGCCGUCGGAAAAGAUGGCGUUUGAUGGUGUAAAACCGCAGGGGUAUUUUCGUCACUCCAAGUCACAAAAGUGCCUUGCCCCGUAAGACCAUUGUAAAAUUGCCUAAUCUCGAGUUUUUUUGAUAGAAAGUGUCAAUUCUUGUAAAAGCCCCAAGAAAACAGAGUCUUAGUUAACGACUUUGUAUUUCUUUUUUUUUAUCACUUGGUGUACUACUUUUAGUUAAAUGAUUUAGUUUACUAUUUUUGUUUCAAUUACGCUCAUGAUUUAUCACAAAAUUUUAUUAUUAUAACUACAUAUUUAGCUAAAAAUUAGUACUCACCAAAAAAGACUAAAAACAAAUUAUUACUAGCUAAACAAAAAAUGUUAUGGAUUUGAAUAUAUUUAAAUUACAUUUUUUAAAAAUUUUACUAGACCCAAAUAAACUGAACCCAACCGAACCCAAACCGAAUCUAAAGUUGAACCGAAAUGCUCACCCAUAUCUUAACGCACCAUGCACUCACAACUGAACCACAUUUGGUUCUUUUUAGGGUAAUAUUAGGAAGUAGCCAAAUUUGACAUCAUAAUAAAGAAACUAACUAUGUGUCGGAUAAUUUUGGUAAAUGACUUUUUUUGUGGUGUGGUAGAGGUGAAAAAAAGACUCAUGUUGAAUAAUUUUCUAUAUAGAGGAAAAUUUAGAAAUUUCCAACAAAAUUCAGCAACAAACAAACAAAUUAAAUUGAUUUAAACUU
This 3832-nucleotide small RNA is filed under the name Arabidopsis thaliana (thale cress). Its description in RNAcentral is "ATSL154450". The record is from RNAcentral. Lineage: Eukaryota; Viridiplantae; Streptophyta; Magnoliopsida; Brassicales; Brassicaceae.